Acanthosepion pharaonis is the source of this 96-nucleotide non-coding RNA. The record is from the annotation of a GenBank genome assembly. Lineage: Eukaryota; Metazoa; Mollusca; Cephalopoda; Sepiida; Sepiidae.
CUGAAAUACCAGUUCCCGUACAAUCACCGAAGUUGAGCAGCGUCGAGCAUAGACAGUACCUUGAUGGGUGACUACUUAGGAAUACAAGGUGCUAUA